ACCGGUGGCAAGGCCGUCGUGGCGCUGGACGGUGAGAAACUAAUCGGUUUCAGCUACAUCGAGUGCUGGGGUCACGGCGACUUCGUCGCCACCUCGGGACUUAUCGUCGAUCCGGAGUACCGCCAUAUGGGACUCGCGGAACAGAUCAAACGACGAACCUUCGAGCUGGCCCGACGACGAUUCCCGUAUGCCAAGUUAUUCAGUAUCACCACGUCGCUGCCGGUUAUGAAGCUCAACUCGCGAAUGGGCUACGUCCCCGUGACCUUCUCGGAACUGACCGAAGACGAGGAGUUCUGGCGCGGCUGCGAAGGCUGCUGCAACUACGACAUCCUGCAACGCAACAACCGCCGCAUGUGCCUCUGCACGGGCAUGCUCUACGACCCGGCCAAGGAACCGCCCGCGAAACAGUCGCGGCUGGCCCCCUACCGGAUGUUUUUCCGGAACAAAGUAAAAAAACUGUUUCACCUGAAAUAACGGAAAUAUCAUUCGAGACAACCCGGUCGCGUCGCGACAAGUCCCCUCCGAGGAGGGGAUUCAGGGGAAGGUCAGAAUUGCAAACGACGCCGAAGGCGGCGACAACGACCGGAGGAUUUGCACUCCGGCAGCAUGAAUAAAAAAACAAAAAAACAGAAUAUCAUGGAAACCAAGAAGAAAGUGGUUCUGGCGUUCAGCGGCGGUCUGGACACCUCGUUUUGUGUAAAAUACCUCUCCGAGGAGAAGGGUUACGACGUUUACACGGCAAUCGCCAACACGGGCGGGUUCUCGAAACCCGAACUCGAAAAGAUCGAGAAGCGCGCCAUGGAGCUGGGCGCCACGGCACACGCGACGGUCCCUAGAAAAACCCCUAGGCAGGCGCGUGCGCGCCCGUACCGCAAACCGACACAGGUGGGUGGGUAGAACAUACCGAGGCGAUCGGGUCAACCAUGGUCAAGGAACUCGGCACAAUGGCCCCGUAACUUCGGGAGAAGGGGUGCCCGCGCGUACGUGAACGGACUUGCUCCGGGAGCGGAGGCGGGCCGCAGUGGAGAGGCCCAAGCGACUGUUUACCAAAAACACAGGACUCUGCAGAAGCCGCAAGGCGACGUAUAGGGUCUGACGCCUGCCCGGUGCCGGAAGGUCACGCGGAGGAGUUAGCGCAUCGCGCGAAGCCCCGAAGCCAAGCCCCGGUAAACGGCGGCCGUAACUAUAACGGUCCUAAGGUAGCGAAAUUCCUUGUCGGGUAAGUUCCGACCUGCACGAAAGGCGCAACGACUUGGGCGCUGUCUCGACCAUGGACCCGGUGAAAUUGCACUGGUCGUGAAGAUGCGACUUACCCGCGGAAGGACGGAAAGACCCCGUGAACCUUCACUGCAGCUUGGCAUUGGCCGCUGGUCCCGCGUGUAGAGGAUAGGCAGGAGGCACAGAUCCGGAGGCGCCAGCCCCCGGGGAGCCGCCCUUGGAAUACUGCCCUCGCGCGACCGGCGUCCUAACCCGAGGCCGUCGACCGGCUCGGGGACCGUGCCAGGCGGGCAGUUUGACUGGGGCGGUCGCCUCCUAAAGGGUAACGGAGGCGCGCGAAGGUCCGCUCGGGACGGUCGGCAACCGUCCUUUUGAAUGCAAGAGUACAAGCGGGCUUGACUGCGAGGCCCACAAGCCGAGCAGGUGCGAAAGCAGGCUCUAGUGAUCCGGCGGCCCCGAGUGGGUGGGCCGUCGCUCAACGGAUAAAAGGUACUCCGGGGAUAACAGGCUGAUCUUGCCCAAGAGUCCACAUCGACGGCAAGGUUUGGCACCUCGAUGUCGGCUCAUCGCAUCCUGGGGCUGGAGCAGGUCCCAAGGGUAUGGCUGUUCGCCAUUCAAAGCGGUACGCGAGCUGGGUUCAGAACGUCGUGAGACAGUUCGGUCCCUAUCCUCCGCAGGCGCAAGGGAGUUGAGGAGGGCCGCCCCUAGUACGAGAGGACCGGGGCGGACGGGCCUCUGGUGGAGCGGUUGUCGACCAACGGCACCGCCGCCUAGCUACGCCCGGAACGGAUAACCGCUGAAAGCAUCUAAGCGGGAAGCCGGCUCCGAGAUGAGCUCCCUGUUCGGUAAGGGCCCGGGUAGAACACCCGGUCGACAGGCCGCAGCUGCAAGCGCCGCGAGGCGCUCAGGCGAGCGGUGCUGAUAGCCCGAGCUCUUCUUC
This 2158-nucleotide ribosomal RNA is filed under the name human gut metagenome. Its description in RNAcentral is "bacterial LSU rRNA". The stretch from base 441 to 2158 matches the Rfam family "Bacterial large subunit ribosomal RNA". The record is from RNAcentral.